RNAcentral lists this long non-coding RNA (3246 nucleotides) under Chrysolophus pictus (golden pheasant). RNAcentral's name for it is "lncRNA (ENSCPIG00010014400.1)". Lineage: Eukaryota; Metazoa; Chordata; Aves; Galliformes; Phasianidae. The record is from RNAcentral.
GAAAGUUCCUUUUUCCUGGCCUAGACCUGGGAGCUGCCAGGCUGCUGUGAGGGCCUGGGCUUGAACUGUACCAAUUUUUCACAAAAAGAAGAGGAAAUUGAAGAGCAGAUGAUUUCAUAACGGUUGGCCACUGAUGCUUUACAGAGCUGCAGUUAGCGUCACAGGGAAAACUUCAGCGCACACCAACACCUACAGCGCCCCUCCGACCGAAGCGCAGCGCCCCGCCCGCCCGCCAUCACGCACGCGCCCCGGGCCGGGCGGUGACGCCACGUUUAUUCGGUGCCUGAAGGGCGGAAGCGCCGUGCAGCGCUCAGGAAAUGGCGGCGCUGCGGGGCGGGCGCGUGGCGUGGUGUGUCAUGGCGGCGCGGCUCGCGAGCGGCGCUGCUUGCUGCUGGGAAACGGCGGACCGAGGAAGGACGGGACGCGGUACCCAGCCGGGCAGCUCCGCGAGGUCAGCCCCGCUCGGCCUGUGAUGCCCUCCAGUGGCAGCCGCGUGUGCUGCCGUGCUGGGCGAGGGGAGCGGGAAGAGCGCUCCGAAGUGCUUCCUGUCCCGGGAUGCAAAGGUACCUCGGGUUUUAUGAUGUUCCUCUUCACGGGGGAGGAAACGCUGUUGUUUUCAGCGUGAGGCUGAGACUCCUGACUGGAUUCAAGUCCCUGUUGUGCUACAGUGCCUGGAUUGCCCUGUCUGUCCUGCUUAUGUGUUAUUGCAGGAUGUGAGAGAACGAGGCGCCUUGAGAGAAUCCCAGCAGUGCCUAAAAGCAGUCCAGACAACAAAUCAAAUCAGUGCAGAACUGUGCUAUUGACUUAGCCCUCUGGCUGCGACAGAAAUAACUGAGUUCCGGGGGAGAAUGACUCCAGCCAGCUCUGUGCUUUCAAAAGACGCUGGCAGCUCGCAGCAGAGUUUCAGAUCCUAUUUCUUUCUCCUCUCUUCAGGCAGCACUGUGGUUUUAAUGGAUGUUUUUUCUGUUUUGCUCUCUGUUCUGUACAGAGACACGCCACAAGCCAAAUAUGAUUCUUGCUAGGUACAUAAGGCUAGUUCAGCACUGCCUUCUGGUGGUGUUGUCCAUGGUAAAAGGGAUUGAGUAUAACUUGUAAACCUGUGAGUCUGCAGGUGGCCCUGGCAAGGUCCCCAGUUAGCUCCUGGGUGAGGUGUGGCUGGUAUUCCGUCCUUUGGCUGUUCCUGCUGCUGUUGCAGCCUCUGCAGGGAUGCACAGAUCACUGCUGCAGGUUGGGGCAGCCUGUGGUAUUUGAGCAGCCAGUGCCAGAGCGUUAGGCAUGAGCCCCCAUGUUCUACUGAAGAUGAAUUUUUUCUCUGCCAGCAAAUGCAUGUAAUCAAAGGAACAGAAAGAAAAAUGCUAACAGGUAUCAGGAAAAACAUGUCCUACAGCACACUCUGACUAAUUGUCAGGGGACAAUUCGUUCUUAAUGGACCUUUGUUGUUUCAUGUGGUCUAGUUUAGCAGUGAGCCAGAGUUUCUGAAGACAGGCUCUCCAGGGCAGUGGUCAUGGCUGGAGUUCAUCAGGCUAGCUGCUGGAGUUCAAGAAGUGUUCGGACAUUGCUUUCAAGUGUGGGGCUUGAAUUCUUAGUGGUCCUGCGUGGAGCCAGGAGUUGGACUUGAUGAUCCUUGUGGACCUCUUCCAACUCAGGAUAUUCUGUGAUUCUGUAAUUGCAGCUUGAGUGCCUUACUGAUCUGAUCAGUAGACCCUGUAAUGGAAAUGGUGGCCUCCUUGUAAAGGAUGUAAGGAUGUAUAUAAUGGUAAUUUACAGUAACAGCUGGUUUUAAAGAAUUGUUCACUCCUUUUUCUUUGCUGUGUAAAUAUUUAAGUGACAAGGUUGAGAUUCCUAGGAGAGUAAAUGCUUGGGUUACAGCUGACAGGUGAAGCUUUUAUUAAACAGAAACAUGCAAACUUAUUUCCUUUAUUUUUUUUUUUAGCCUGGCAGCUGAUGAUUGCUUAUUUGUUCUUUUUUCAGAUAUUUCUGUUGCUGCCUUAGCAGUCUCAUAAGCCAUCCCUGGUGAUGACCACUGAGUCAUGCUCUGAAAAACUGGCUGUUCCUGUGAUCUGCAGAUUCAUUGAGCCAGCAACGUAGUGGCAGAGCUGUUUGGUACUCUUAGAGCCUCAGUUGCACAGUGUGCAUGUACCUCGUAGCUGGCUCAGCAAAUCAGUCCUUGCAGCACAUCUGUGAGAUGGUUGUCUGGGUUGAUAUAACAUCAGAGAUGAGCAGCUCAUCCUGGAGCCAGAAUACAGGUAAAGUUUAAACACUUGAGAUGAAAGCUGUGGGUGGAGAGUGAUGUUGUGGGGCCAUUCAGAGGGCCAACACAAGGUAGACUUUCAUCAGAAUGGCUUCAUUCACCUGGCAGUCUUUGUAUACUAAAGGUGUCCUUGAGGAGUGUCAGUCCUCCUGCUACCUCUGCUCUGAUAUUUGUUGUUUUUGUUUUAUUUUUGCAGGUCUUUCUCUCAUUGUAAAGAGCGUGGCGUUCAGUUUUGGCAGAUAAAGGUUAAAUAUGCUCCACUGCACGGAAGCUGGACCUUGAAUCAAGGCAUACAUUUUUAACUGAAGGGAGAAGAAGGUGUUAAAACAAUUCAGAAGUGUGGUGCUUUCUCACUGCUUUGUUCACUGUACACUUUAGCUGUUGUUCUCUGGUACAGCCUUUCAGUAUGUUAGCAUUGCUCACCUGGCCACCUUGUGCCCUGUGUAUUAACAGUGGUUGCAGGCUGAGUCACCUGUUUGUAGGAGACACGUGUUGUGCUCAUUGCAAGACACUGAAAUUGUCUGACCUGCCUCAUAGGAGGUUGGACGAGAUAAUCAUAACAGCGCUUUUCUGUCUUGGAAGUCUGUGAAUUCCUGGUGGGCUAAGAAAUGAAGCUAUACUUGCAUAGUUCAGUGCUGCCAAAAACAAAACCCGUUUUGUUUUCCAAGCUGUAAGUCAGUAUUCAAGUGAAGAAGGCACUAACCACUGUUCUAAGAGCAUAUUCUGCUCCUGUUUUCAUGGUUUCUGAAAAGCUUAUUUUGGGGAAAUGCAUUUCUUCUCUUAAUUUCUCAGCCAAUUGGAGAAAAACAGACAAGCUUUUGGCACACAUUUCUACAUCAAGUCUCUCUAAAUUUUGCCAAGCUUUAUUUAUAAGGACCAUGUCUACUGUAGAGACAACCUGUUCCUGACAAACCGCUAGAAUAGAAAAUUUGAACCAAUUAUUUUUGUAAUGAAUGUACAAUAAAUCUGUUGAAAAGCUAUCUGUUAAUGACUCU